UGGGGAAUAUUGCACAAUGGGGGAAACCCUGAUGCAGCAACGCCGCGUGAGCGAUGAAGGCUUUCGAGUCGUAAAGCUCUGUCCUAAGGGAAGAUAAUGACGGUACCUUAGGAGGAAGCCCCGGCUAACUACGUGCCAGCAGCCGCGGUAAUACGUAGGGGGCAAGCGUUAUCCGGAAUUAUUGGGCGUAAAGGGUGCGUAGGCGGCCUUAUGGGUCAGGGGUUAAAUACUACGGCUUAACCGUAGUAUGCCUUUGAAACUAUAGGGCUUGAGUGCAGGUGAGGAGAGUGGAAUUCCUAGUGUAGCGGUGAAAUGCGUAGAUAUUAGGAGGAAUACCAGUGGCGAAGGCGACUCUCUGGACUGCAACUGACGCUAAGGCACGAAAGCGUGGGUAGCGAACAGG
RNAcentral lists this ribosomal RNA (403 nucleotides) under uncultured bacterium. RNAcentral describes it as "bacterial SSU rRNA". It matches the Rfam family "Bacterial small subunit ribosomal RNA", at positions 355 to 776 of the family's 1533-position model. The record is from RNAcentral.